RNAcentral lists this non-coding RNA (30 nucleotides) under Mus musculus (house mouse). Lineage: Eukaryota; Metazoa; Chordata; Mammalia; Rodentia; Muridae. The record is from RNAcentral.
UGGCUCAGACACACAAGCUAAAGAGAAUGC